GCCAGCCAGGAAGGAGGAGGCAGCCAGAGAGGCCUCCACUGUUCUCUGCAGCAGAAGACCCCCUGCUGCCAGGCACACUAACAAAGAGAUACAGUAGAUCAUGGAGAAAUCAUCGGACAAAAUUCUUUAGUGUUUCUCCUUGAGGCAACCCUGAAAUUCUCCUUCAGAUUUCACUCUGAAGAAAUUUUGAUUCCUACCCUAGGUUCAUCAAUUUGAAUGAAGAACUUCAAGCUAAUUACAUUCAUGUCCAUGCAAAAAGAACUCAUGUUCUGAUUUAGCUCUAAUUGCAACAAUAGGAACUGAAAUAACUGCAACAAUAAUGUAAUAUUCUCUGACAAUAAAAACUGGCAAACCUUUUAAUGAACAGUUGCAGUCCAAGGUACUGAUAUUUUACUUAUAUAUGAUUACUUGAUUCAUUUUUUAUAAAAGUUAUAUAA
Long non-coding RNA from Hemicordylus capensis (graceful crag lizard), 437 nucleotides. RefSeq lists it as uncharacterized. Lineage: Eukaryota; Metazoa; Chordata; Lepidosauria; Squamata; Cordylidae. The record is from RefSeq and is a predicted model, not a curated record. The transcript has 3 exons.